This is a non-coding RNA of Phalacrocorax carbo (great cormorant), 566 nucleotides long. The record is from RefSeq and is a predicted model, not a curated record. Lineage: Eukaryota; Metazoa; Chordata; Aves; Suliformes; Phalacrocoracidae.
UACAGGACCCUGGUAAAUGCCUGUACCUCAGCACUGCCUCUUUGAAAACUGGGAUAAUCAGUUGACCAGGUCGUCUCAUGGGAACGUGAGGAUGGCUAAAUAGUCAAGAUUAUGCAUUCUUCUGGGACAACAGUCAGGAAGAGCUUGCAAAGAGUUAAUGCUUCCUUUUCCAUCUGGGAUGAGACUAUCUGUGCAGUAUUUGGGAAUCCUCACGCAAAUUCAAGUGGUUACCCCUGUCUGCAUAAAGGAGACAAAGACCUUCACAAGCUGAGCUACUGAGAGUAAGAGAGACUUGUCUAAAUGUUUCUUAACCUUCUCUUUGUCUACACCUGCAGUUGUAAACCACAGUAAGCACUAAUUCAGUUAGAAAAGCCAACAGCUGAUAACCAGUUGCCAAAAGGAACCUAGCUGCUAAUGUAAACACGGCUGAAAUCUUAUGAUAUUAUCUAAGAACUUAUUUGAGGGAAGUUCUUAAGCAUCCCUUCUUAUCAACUUUCCUUAGACCCAGGUCAAAGGUUUCUCUUCUACCAUAAAUUAGCAUCUUUAAUGUAUAUUAUAAGUGUUUU